GAUGAUCGGUGCUUGCACCUAGAUUCAACAUGGAACGAGUGUCGGACGGGUGAGUAACACGUGGUUUACCUGCCCUUAAGUGGGGGAUAACAUUUGCAAACCGAUGCUAAUACCGCAUAUGAUCCUAGAACCGCAUGGUUCUUGGCUGAUAGAUGGCGUAUGCUAUCGCUUUUGGCUGGACCCUCGGCGUAUUAUAUAGUUGGUGAGGUAAUGGCUCACCAAGGCGAUGAUACGUUUCCAAACUGAGAGGUUGCUCGCCCCCAUUGUGACUGACCCAUGGCCAAAUCUAAUACGGGAGGCAGCAGUAGGGAAUCUUCCACAAUGGACGCAAGUCUGAUGGAGCAACGCCGCGUGAGUGAAGAAGGCUUUCGGGUCGUAAAACUCUGUUGUUGGAGAAGAAUGGUCGGCAGAGUAACUGUUGUCGGCGUGACGGUAUCCAACCAGAAAGCCACGGCUAACUACGUGCCAGCAGCCGCGGUAAUACGUAGGUGGCAAGCGUUAUCCGGAUUUAUUGGGCGUAAAGCGAGCGCAGGCGGUUUUUUAAGUCUGAUGUGAAAGCCCUCGGCUUAACCGAGGAAGCGCAUCGGAAACUGGGAAACUUGAGUGCAGAAGAGGACAGUGGAACUC
Molecule: ribosomal RNA, 627 nt
Filed under: Lacticaseibacillus casei
Lineage: Bacteria; Bacillati; Bacillota; Bacilli; Lactobacillales; Lactobacillaceae
Description: bacterial SSU rRNA
Rfam family: Bacterial small subunit ribosomal RNA
Source: RNAcentral